RNAcentral lists this transfer RNA (68 nucleotides) under Brachycentrus subnubilus. Its description in RNAcentral is "tRNA-Trp". The record is from RNAcentral. Lineage: Eukaryota; Metazoa; Arthropoda; Insecta; Trichoptera; Brachycentridae.
AAAACUUUAAGUUAAAUUUAAACUAAUAAUCUUCAAAAUUAUAAAUAAUUCAUAAUAAUUAAGUUUUA